AUCGGCUAACUCCGUGCCAGCAGCCGCGGUAAUACGGAGGAUCCGAGCGUUAUCCGGAUUUACUGGGUUUAAAGGGUGCGUAGGCGGGUUGAUAAGUCAGUGGUGAAAUCCUUCAGCUUAACUGGAGACUUGCCAUUGAUACUGUUAGUCUUGAGUACGGUCAAGGUAGGCGGAAUGUGUAAUGUAGCGGUGAAAUGCUUAGAUAUUACACAGAACACCGAUUGCGAAGGCAGCUUACUGGGCCAUUACUGACGCUGAUGCACGAAAGCGUGGGGAGCGAACAGGAUUAGAUACCCUGGUAGUCCACGCCGUAAACGAUGAUCACUCGCUGUUAGCGAUACACAGUUAGCGGCUAAGCAAAAGCAUUAAGUGAUCCACCUGGGGAGUACGGUCGCAAGACUG
RNAcentral lists this ribosomal RNA (402 nucleotides) under uncultured bacterium. RNAcentral describes it as "bacterial SSU rRNA". It matches the Rfam family "Bacterial small subunit ribosomal RNA", at positions 492 to 896 of the family's 1533-position model. The record is from RNAcentral.